RNAcentral lists this ribosomal RNA (433 nucleotides) under Atractotomus cercocarpi. RNAcentral's name for it is "partial 16S ribosomal RNA". The stretch from base 111 to 433 matches the Rfam family "Bacterial large subunit ribosomal RNA", at positions 2077 to 2607 of the family's 2925-position model. Lineage: Eukaryota; Metazoa; Arthropoda; Insecta; Hemiptera; Miridae. The record is from RNAcentral.
UCACUUGUCUCUUAAUUGGAGUCUGGUAUGAAUGGCUGGAUGAAAAAUUUACUUUCUUUAUUUUUUAAAUAAAAUUUAAUUUCUGGAUUAAAAAGUUUAGAUAUAUUUAGAGGACGAGAAGACCCUAUAGAACUUAACUCCCCCUAAAUUAAUUAUUUACUUGUAAAUAAUUUUUUAUUAAUUUUUAGGGGGGGUUCUAUUGGGGUGAUAGAAAAAAUUUUUUAACUUUUUCUACUUUUUUCAUUGGUUUAUGUUUUGUUGAUCCUUUAUUAUGGAUAAUAAGAUUAAGUUACCUUAGGGAUAACAGCGUUAUUAUUUUAGAGAGUUCAUAUUGAUGAAAUAGUUUGCGACCUCGAUGUUGGAUUAAAAUUAGUGUCAGGGGUAUAAUAUUGAUUACUAGGUCUGUUCGACCUUUAAAUUUUUACAUGAUCUG